RNAcentral lists this ribosomal RNA (375 nucleotides) under uncultured fungus. RNAcentral's name for it is "eukaryotic LSU rRNA". The stretch from base 1 to 113 matches the Rfam family "5.8S ribosomal RNA", at positions 42 to 154 of the family's 154-position model. The record is from RNAcentral. Lineage: Eukaryota; Fungi.
AACGCAGCGAAGGGCGAUACGUAAUGUGAAUUGCAGAAUUCAGUGAAUCAUCGAAUCUUUGAACGCACAUUGCACUCUAUGGUAUUCCGUAGAGUAUGCCUGUUUCAGUAUCAUGAACACCUCACUACUAUAACUUUUUUUGUUGUAAUAGUGGACUUGGGAUGCGCUGGUGUCAAUCAGCCCUUCUAAAAUGGAGUUCUUGCACUGUUGAUUUGUUUUAACAGCAUGUUGGCCUAAUAGGUUUCGGCAGUAAUGUUGGAAUCACUGGCUUUUUUGCUUAGAAUCUGACAGUCUUGAUAUACAGAAUUUUUGAGGUGACUUGUCUCCUCUUCAAAUUUUGAUCUGAAAUCAGGUAGGAUUACCCGCUGAACUUAA